AAGAUCUGGAAAAUGUAUUUCCUCCUGUUCAAGUCAAUACAGUAAAAUAAUAUAAUAUAAUAUACAGUAUAUAAUAUACAGUAAUAUAAAACACAGCAAGCAUAUACCUCAACAGGAGUCCACAGAUUUUCUUCGGAUAAGGGAGCUUUUGGCCUCAUCCCAUAUACCAUAAUGUUGUGCCAGAAGUAAUCCAUUACAAGGUACCUUCACCUACUCUUUGCAGAAAAAGGACCGUUAUAAUGGGAGAUGACCCUAUUCUAACGUCGUCUACUUCAAUCAUAAAAAUAUAGCCACGAGAGCAUGUCAGAUGCCCUUUAAUAAGAUGUCAGUAUUAUGUGUAUCGUAAUAGUAUGUCAAUAAUUAUAUUUCCUAUGAUAAAAUCUGACCCUAUAUUAUAAAUAUAAUUUGAUGGCUCAAGCCUUAAUUCUACCUUUCUUAGUCACCUAUUCCAGGUAAAAAGAACUAAAUAUUAAGUGAAAGCACACCUGAACACGGUGAUGAAAAUGAAAAGCUUUGGAGAAAAAUCAUCAGUCUCUUUGAAAUGUCUAAAUAUUUCCAAGGUUGAGCCAUGGCGAGCAAAUAUUCUAGCAUGUUCAAAGCAGAAAUAAUUCCCUAAAUCUCCUAGGACCUGCCUCCUUUGGCCCAUGCUUAUCUUGUGCCCUGCAUCAUGGUGAAAUAGCUAUAAAUUAUCCUCGUAGCCGCCACAGUGAUUGACACAGACGUAUCGACCAUAAAACAUAGAGGUGUUUAGUGUGGAGUCCAUCAAUAUGGGGGGAUUGACAUAAAGUAGUCACGAAGCAAGUCCUUCAUUGAGAAGUUGAGACAGCACCCUUAUCAGUGGGAAGAAAUACUGAGCCUCUAGCCUAGGAUUUCUUAUGUUCGGUCGUAGUUCUAGUGAUUAACAGUCAUGAGUUGUCUUAGUUACACUGAGACUAGGUUACAGAAGUAAAGAAUGAAGUAGAACGUCAUUUGCUACACACAUAUAUAAGGAUGAGAAACUUAAGUCGUUUCUCAGCUUAUGUUCUGUGCAGUCAGGGGUUGAGUUCGACCGUCUCCGAGACCCCUUCCAGCAAUGUCUGUGUCGUUCUUUGGCAGGAAGACCACCACUAGGUGGUCUCUGGCAUCAUGGAAGAUGUCAUGGACAUCAUUUGCCAUCAUAGACGACGACCACUAGGGGGCGGAGUAGUGAGCAGGAUUAGCAGGCAGCCAACCCGCCUUCCAUGGGUGGAGAACAGAAGACUGGGGGGCAAGGUCGCACCUUCCUUCAGAGAGGUGUGGUGCCAGGCCAGCAGCUGAAGAUGCUGGUGCUUCUGCUGCUUCUGGGACCCAGCUACGGGUUUGGCGCCCUCGUCUCUCAACAUCCCAGCAGGGCCAUCUGUAAGAGCGGUGCCUCUGUGACCAUCCAGUGCCGUACAGUGGACUUUCAAACCACAACUAUGUUCUGGUAUCAUCAGUUCCCAGAACAGGGCCCCCUGCUGAUAGCAACUUCUAACAUGGGCUCUAAUGCCACCUACGAAAAAGGUUUUAACAGCACCAAGUUUCUCAUCAGCCACCCAGACCUAACGUUUUCAUCUCUGGUGGUGAGACGCGUGCAUCCUGCCGACAGCAGCCUCUACCUUUGUGGUGCUAGUGACACAGCGCUGAGCAGAGAUCAGAGACCCAAACAAGAACCUUUGCAGCAGCUGCCCUCCGCCACCCCACCCACCCCAGGGAGAGCUCCCUGGAGGGUGUGGAGGGAGGAAAAACCACAGCCUUUCUGA
Molecule: non-coding RNA, 1760 nt
Organism: Sus scrofa (pig)
Lineage: Eukaryota; Metazoa; Chordata; Mammalia; Artiodactyla; Suidae
Source: the annotation of a RefSeq genome assembly